GUUAAUGCUCCCAAACUCAAACUAGCUGCUUUUAAACUAACUUGAACUAAAUUUGCUCACUCAAGUGAUUUGGUAUUUUGAGAAGAGUUGAACUGUGGGGAUUAACUACAUGAGAUAUAGCGCCAGCUGAACUUGUUUCUACAACUGUUGAAAACACAAAUCACUGCUUAGGAACUAAACUACUGAACUAACCUACUGAAACGCACUGUUGAAAACAAUUAAAUGUUCAACUCUCACGAAUCUGAGAAACCACAGUUAUACAGUCUAGUUAUGUACCCAUGGAAGCCCAUUGAAAUUCUACGUUAUACUAGUAGCAUCAGCUGAACCAAACUAAAUUGCCAAAACACAGGAAUAUACAUAAUUAGUUCAACAGUCUAUUAUUUAACAGUCCAUUCAAAUCACAAAAAACAACUAUCUAAAAUGAGACAGAAUUACUAAAACUUCACAUCCACAGCAGCAAAUCAGCCUCAAUUUCAUUUCACGUUUUAACAUGGCUACAUCAACAAAGUCACAAAAUGUGUAUCUGGAGAUGAGAAAAGGAAUAGGAACUGAGAGUAGUCAGCAGAAGCCAAGCAACUGAAACUCAAGCAGCAAUCAAACAGUCAGUUCCAACCCAGACAUGAACCAAAGAGUGUAGAAAUGUUCCAAAUCGAGUAGGAUUGAUAGAUCAACCCAGAACAACACCAAAAUCACUCAAGUAAACUAGAAAAUGGAUCCAGAACCAACUUGAAAUCAUUCUAAUGAACUUCUGAAGUUUCAGAACCCAAAUAUUGACUGGAAAUCAAUAACUAAAAAUUGAAAUUAGCAUGAAUUCUCUAAUGGAAUAGGUCUAUAUUGCUUUGCUUUUUGAAGGUUUUUCUAUUGUUUUUGGGGUUUUGGAGUUAGAAUUUCAAUCCUAGAUCUGAAACUUGGAAAACACACUUUGGGGUGAAUUUUGAUGCCUUUUUAUAGGCAAAGAUAAGGUGCAGGUCAGAUUUUCAAUUUUCUUUUCUAGUCUCUAUUCAUUUUCACCAUUAGUCAUUUAUUUUUUAACUUUUUACCCAAGCUAGUACCCUAAGUUUAUUGAAAUAUGUACUGAAGUUCUACUUUAGAAGAUUCUAGGGCCUUCUAUUCUAAUCUACAGCUUUCAUGUUCAAUUUCAAUUACCUAAACUGCCCCUGAACUUAUUUUGAAAUUACUAUACUAACUCUUCAAGUUCCCUUACCUUAGGUGAACUUAACUAUGGUUAACAAAAUCCUAAAUCCAAACUAACUACUGAACUUUAAAUCCCCAAUUCCUAUCAACAAAUAAAACAACUCAUCAAAUGACCAUCAUAAAUUCAAUAUAAAAUCAGAUUGAACCAUAUUAAGCAAUUAAAGAACAAUUAAACCAAUUAAUGAGCCAUUAUUGGUAACUAAAUCAAGGCUAAACGAGAAUUGAACCUAUCAACUUCCAUUAUUUAAAGCAACAUCAAUCCAAACAUCAGAAAUCUAAACUAAAUUAAACACUGAACAACACUAAUAGUUAACAGAAAUUGGAAAGACAAUCCAAAUGAGAAUAUUAAACAUAGAAGAUAAAACAGAAUCCAAGUCCAUUAAUGACACAAAGAAAAAUAGGAAAACAAAAAGAAAAAACUCUGAGGAACUCACUGGUAUAAGUUUUGACCCACUUCAACAAUAUUCAAUGGCUAUUGACGAUGGAUUCGUCAUGAGAGGAAUGAGAAUGCUACGAGGUAUAAAUUUGAAGCCGAGUGGGUGAACUAGGGCUCUGCCGAAAUCUUCGAUUUGAUAUUUGGAGACGCUGACGGGGAUUCGAUGAACAACAGUCGUGGAUCCGAGGUGACGAGAGUGAGGAGGUCUAGGGGUGUUAUUUUGGUGGGAUUUGGAGACGGGCGCCGCCGUGCAUGGUGGUGGCGGCGCUAGGGUUUGAUUUAUUCGAGGUGUUAGGGUAAGAUUUGGAGGGAAUCAAUAUUGGAUAUGGAACAGGGAGGCGAAGGAGAAGGCGUGGUUUAAUUUUGGCGAGACUUGGACACCGUCCGCCGCCGCGAGGCGAUUCCCGGCGGCAGAGUUGGGGCGCAGCCGACGAAGGACAACAAAUACGAGGAAGGAGAAGGAUGGUCUCUAGGUUUUCAAGAAGAUUUAGGACACUUUUAAUUAAUGUGAAGGAUCAAACUAAGCUGUUGGAUUAAAGAGAUGAAGGACUCAGAUUACUUUACCAAAACGCACCACUUUGCGCAUCUUGGACCGGCCUGGGUUGGGUAACAAUUGGGCCUGGCGUGGUUUUGGC
This 2265-nucleotide long non-coding RNA is filed under the name Nicotiana benthamiana. Its description in RNAcentral is "long non-coding RNA (NBEN_LNC028064)". The record is from RNAcentral. Lineage: Eukaryota; Viridiplantae; Streptophyta; Magnoliopsida; Solanales; Solanaceae.